This 159-nucleotide unclassified non-coding RNA is filed under the name uncultured Basidiomycota. RNAcentral's name for it is "sequence contains ITS1". Lineage: Eukaryota; Fungi; Basidiomycota. The record is from RNAcentral.
AAGAUUCGACCUUCGGGUCUACUCUUCAGCUGUGCGCUUCGGCUGCACGCUGUUGAAUCUCACACACCUGUGCACAUUUCGGUUGCAGCUGGUUAAUUCUGGCUGCUUCCGCUUUUACAUUUAACUACCAAGUCUAGAAUGUCAAAUACUAUAAAAUAA